UACGAAGGGGGCUAGCGUUGCUCGGAAUCACUGGGCGUAAGGCGCACGUAGGCGGAUUGCUAAGUCAGGGGUGAAAUCCUGGAGCUCAACUCCAGAACUGCCUUUGAUACUGGCGAUCUUGAGUCCGGGAGAGGUGAGUGGAACUGCGAGUGUAGAGGUGAAAUUCGUAGAUAUUCGCAAGAACACCAGUGGCGAAGGCGGCUCACUGGCCCGGUACUGACGCUGAGGUGCGAAAGCGUGGGGAGCAAACAGGG
RNAcentral lists this ribosomal RNA (254 nucleotides) under uncultured bacterium. RNAcentral describes it as "partial 16S ribosomal RNA". It matches the Rfam family "Bacterial small subunit ribosomal RNA", at positions 524 to 777 of the family's 1533-position model. The record is from RNAcentral.